Molecule: ribosomal RNA, 410 nt
Filed under: uncultured fungus
Lineage: Eukaryota; Fungi
Description: SSU rRNA
Rfam family: Eukaryotic small subunit ribosomal RNA
Source: RNAcentral
UCUGGUAUGCGCUGGUUUCGCUGAUUCCUCCUUUCUGAAGAACUGUAAUGUCAUUAAUUUGGUGUUGCAGGGAAACAGGACUGUUACUUUGAAAAAAUUAGAGUGUUUAAAGCAAGCUAACGCUUGAAUACAUUAGCAUGGAAUAAUGAAAUAGGACGUUUGAUCCUAUUUUGUUGGUUUCUAGGAUUGACGUAAUGAUUAAUAGGGAUAGUUGGGGGCAUUAGUAUUCAAUUGUCAGAGGUGAAAUUCUUGGAUUUAUUGAAGACUAACUACUGCGAAAGCAUUGCCAAGGAUGUUUUCAUUAAUCAAGAACGAAAGUUAGGGGAUCGAAGACGAUCAGAUACCGUCGUAGUCUUAACCAUAAACUAUGCCGACUAGGGAUCGGAUGAUGUUAAUUUUUUAAUGACUCA